RNAcentral lists this ribosomal RNA (465 nucleotides) under uncultured bacterium. Its description in RNAcentral is "partial 16S ribosomal RNA". It matches the Rfam family "Bacterial small subunit ribosomal RNA", at positions 339 to 795 of the family's 1533-position model. The record is from RNAcentral.
CUACGGGUUGCUGCAGUGGGGAAUAUUGCACAAUGGGCGCAAGCCUGAUGCAGCCAUGCCGCGUGUAUGAAGAAGGCCUUCGGGUUGUAAAGUACUUUCAGCGGGGAGGAAGGGAGUAAAGUUAAUACCUUUGCUCAUUGACGUUACCCGCAGAAGAAGCACCGGCUAACUCCGUGCCAGCAGCCGCGGUGAAUACGGAGGGUGCAAGCGUUAAUCGGAAUUACUGGGCGUAAAGCGCACGCAGGCGGUUUGUUAAGUCAGAUGUGAAAUCCCCGGGCUCAACCUGGGAACUGCAUCUGAUACUGGCAAGCUUGAGUCUCGUAGAGGGGGGUAGAAUUCCAGGUGUAGCGGUGAAAUGCGUAGAGAUCUGGAGGAAUACCGGUGGCGAAGGCGGCCCCCUGGACGAAGACUGACGCUCAGGUGCGAAAGCGUGGGGAGCAAACAGGAUUAGAUACCCCGGUAGUC